UAUUUCUUCAUGCCAGGGUCGGGUCUCAGGAGAGCAAACAGAAUGCUGAUGCGUGCUUGGAAUUAGAGCCAGCCAGGAGGGGCGCGCUGGGGAGGCUCUUUCUGAGGCCUCAUCCAGCAGAUACUCCCGCCAGCCACUCCGAAUGCACUCCCACUCCGCAGCCGCAGCCAGCCAUCAACCGGUUGUGGCCACGCAAGGGCCAAGUUCUUUUGUUUGAGGUGUUCUCCCCUUUUCCCCUCAAAUCCUCUCCUUUCCAGGACCAUGAGCUUCCUGUUGCCAUUUUUCUAACCAACUGAAUUACAUGGGUAAUUGUGAACAAAGAUGGUUCCUGCUGGUCUCACCUUUGGAACAUACAAACUUAAGACUGGCCACAGCCUUGUUUCAAGAAGAGAAUCCAGGGUGGAGAAGGAAGGAGAUUCUUCCUCCCUCCCAGAGCCUCAGUGCCCGGCACGCUGGGAGCACCGGAGAGUCAACGUGCGGCCUCCCUUGACAGGCCAGCAGGCUUAGCAGACCAUGCAGAGCCAAUAAACAUCAUCUCCCUGGACUUUUAAUAAGGUUUUGAAUGGGUUUCCACUUAAGCAGUCCUUGAGAAACUUGGAAAACAUGGCUGAGUACGAAAGUUUUAUUAAGCAGGAUGUCGGGGAAAUUAGUGGUGCCGUUUAGCACCCCCCAAAAUCAUCUUUGGCAUUAAUUUGCUUUGCCCUAGGUGGUCUCCUAGCUAUCCUGGCCCUCUUCCCCCGAUCUCUCUGCCAAUCUCAGUGGCCCUUUAAAAUCACAUAAUGUCCUUCAAAGGGACUGCGCAGCUUUGAGCGGGGCUGUAAACUGGGACUUGCAUAAAAUCUGGGGUCAAGGGAGGUAUAACGGAAUGAUUUAAGCAAACAAAGACCACUUUACGCUCCAACCUAAAUGUUGAAAACAUAAAACCAUUUUUAAAUACAUGCCGGCUAAGUAUGGGAGAAUAAAACUUCCUUUUGAAAAUAAACUCUGUCUUCUACAAUCAGUUUAUUAUACACCAUCGCAAAAGUGUGGUCCAGGCAGAGGGAAAAGCUUUGCAAAGGCAGACAAAGCAGCAGAAAUCGCCCAGUGGGUUCAGAGUGGGAAAAUUCAGGGUGGCUGCAGCACAGGGGCGUGAGGUGGCUGAGGCUGACGACAUUGCUCAGGGUUUCAGUCCCUCCUCAGACAGCCACCCGUAAACUCACAGCUACCCACCUGCAGGAGGCAGAAAACAGAAGGGAGAAAACAAUCGCCAUCGACAUUUACAGCCACCAUUACUAUGUGUCUCCUAAAUGGAGAGCACUGUGCUGAGAGGUUGCCAUAAUUCCCUCACUUGACUUCUCCAAAAAUUACGCAAGGAAGGCGUUAUCCCUUGCCUCACAGAUGACCUAGCCAUGGGCAUUGAGCUACGGUGGGAUUUAUACUCUGACCCCCCCACGCCAAAGCCCACACCCUUUGUUUUUGUAAACCACAUCAUAG
This 1473-nucleotide long non-coding RNA is filed under the name Equus caballus (horse). RNAcentral's name for it is "lncRNA (ENSECAG00000053630.1)". The record is from RNAcentral. Lineage: Eukaryota; Metazoa; Chordata; Mammalia; Perissodactyla; Equidae.